This 646-nucleotide long non-coding RNA is filed under the name Nicotiana benthamiana. RNAcentral describes it as "long non-coding RNA (NBEN_LNC011827)". The record is from RNAcentral. Lineage: Eukaryota; Viridiplantae; Streptophyta; Magnoliopsida; Solanales; Solanaceae.
CAAGAGCUUCACUUGCCUUACCCUAGAGUCGUCUUUGCCUGCAACCAUCUAAUGCAGAUGUUAUUUGCAGCUACAAUUGGGGACAGAGGAGAGCCAAGCCUAUGUUGACCAGCCUGAAAACUGUCCCAUUUGUGGAGCUGAAAUGGUUUUAUAACAUCUUCGGCUGUUCCCCAGGUAUUUCCAUCAUAAUAUCCUAUGUUGAUCAGAAGGACUUCCAUCAUAAUUCCCUAAAUGUAGCUAUAUCUACUUGGAUAGUCUUAAUCUACUGGUCCUCUUCAAACUUUAACCCACUGUUGCACAACCGCUGAAGGAGCUUGGAAUAUUUGUAGCAGAGUUAGGUACCUGAUUUCUGUUAUAUUUUGUUAAUAUAAGUGAUACGCUAACUUUUUAUAUAGAGAUAGCAAUCUGGAAGGAAAAUAUGGGUCCUGCUCUGCCUAUAUUUUGGCUUGUGGGAGAGGGGAAUUAGCUAAGUGCUUUUCUCCACAUGUCUUCAUUUUCUUGUUGAUUCCUUUCUUGUUCCAUAUUCCUUUCUGUGCUAUUCCUUUUACUAUAUGUUAUGCACUCUCAUUCUUUAGCUUUGUAUAAAGAACAUCCUAUGUGCAUUUAGAGGACUGCAUUUUUUAUCUUUAAUGUCCAAAACCUUGCU